RNAcentral lists this ribosomal RNA (301 nucleotides) under uncultured bacterium. Its description in RNAcentral is "partial 16S ribosomal RNA". It matches the Rfam family "Archaeal small subunit ribosomal RNA", at positions 459 to 759 of the family's 1478-position model. The record is from RNAcentral.
CAGCAGCCGCGGUAAUACCGGCAGCCCGAGUGAUGGCCGCUAUUAUUGGGCCUAAAGCGUCCGUAGCCGGCCAGACAAGUCCGUUGGGAAAUCCACGCGCUCAACGCGUGGACGUCCGGCGGAAACUGUCUGGCUUGGGGCCGGAAGAUCUGAGGGGUACGUCCGGGGUAGGAGUGAAAUCCCGUAAUCCUGGACGGACCGCCGGUGGCGAAAGCGCCUCAGAAAGACGGACCCGACGGUGAGGGACGAAAGCUAGGGUCUCGAACCGGAUUAGAUACCCCCGUAGUCCCUGUCUCUUAUU